GGAUAUGAGGGUGAUCUGGCUGUGAAAUCUGUCACCCCAUUGAUGGCCGGGGUAAAAUCAGCUGAUCUGUGUGUAGGUGGGCAUCCCCUUCCUCCCUCAGCACUCCGUGUGCAUCUCUUCAGAAGCUACCUGCAGGGUUGAAGAGGAAGAUGCUCCCUGCCUGAAGAGGACUGUUUUUCAGUCAUGAGUAUACAGUAGCUGUUCUCCCCUGUCAGAACCUCCAAAUAAGCUCUCAAGGUCCAUUUGUAGGAGAAUGUAGGGUAGUCAAGCUUCCACGACUCCAGACACGUCUAAAUGAGGUGCUGCAUGUGGCAGUCUGCCUUUU
Panthera pardus (leopard) is the source of this 325-nucleotide unclassified non-coding RNA. Its record names the gene 7SK. It matches the Rfam family "7SK RNA". From Rfam's summary of the family: 7SK was discovered as an abundant small nuclear RNA in the mid-70s but a possible function has only recently been suggested. Lineage: Eukaryota; Metazoa; Chordata; Mammalia; Carnivora; Felidae. The record is from Ensembl.